RNAcentral lists this ribosomal RNA (218 nucleotides) under uncultured eukaryote. Its description in RNAcentral is "partial small subunit ribosomal RNA". The record is from RNAcentral.
GGUGAGGUGCCUGACCUGUCUCAAGAUGGCUGGCCAGAAGAUCCUCUUGGGGUCCUGACCGAAGGUUCUCUUCCACGUCUCGACCAAGGCCCUGUCGUCGUCAGUGACCUUAUCUCCUGGUGACUUGUCAGGGGGAGAUUCCUUGGCCUCUUCCUUGGACCUCUUCUUCUUCACGUAGGACGAAGCCAGGGUCUUGGUCUUGGUGUUGGAGAUGAGGU